GUAAUACAUGGGAACCUACCCUUUGGUUCGGAAUAACGUCGGGAAACUGACGCUAAUACCGGAUAAUCCCUUCGGGGCAAAGAUUUAUUGCCGAAGGAUGGGCCCAUGUUGGAUUAGCUAGAUGUGGGGUAAUGGCCUACCAUGGCUCCGAUGGGUAGCUGGUUUGAGAGAGCGACCAGCCACACUGGGACUGAGAAACGGGCCAGACUCCUACGGGAGGCAGCAGUGAGGAAUUUUCCGCAAUGGGCGAAAGCCUGACGGAGCGACGCCGCGUGUGGGAAGAAGGCCUUCGGGUCGUAAACCACU
RNAcentral lists this ribosomal RNA (306 nucleotides) under uncultured bacterium. Its description in RNAcentral is "bacterial SSU rRNA". It matches the Rfam family "Bacterial small subunit ribosomal RNA", at positions 110 to 434 of the family's 1533-position model. The record is from RNAcentral.